Crotalus tigris (Tiger rattlesnake) is the source of this 1556-nucleotide long non-coding RNA. RefSeq lists it as uncharacterized. The transcript is spliced from 2 exons. The record is from RefSeq and is a predicted model, not a curated record. NCBI's taxonomy places the organism in Eukaryota, Metazoa, Chordata, Lepidosauria, Squamata, Viperidae.
GUGUUUUGUUUUUGGUGGGAAACGGGUCCAAGUGGCUCUUUAAGUGUUUUGGGUUGCCUAUCCCUGAGUUAGGCUGUAUAAAAAUAAUUGACUUUUAAUUCAGUCACUGAAUUCUAAGAAUAUAUCCUUCUCCCCAACUAUAUUCUAUUUGGCCACUCGGUGCUAUUUAUGGUUCCCAUGAAAAUGAACAAAAGAUCUAUAGCCUCUCUACCACUGACUUUUUAAAAAGGGUAGUUUAUAACAAGUACCAUAUCAUAUAUCAUUUGGAGGCUAGAGCUGAACAAGGUAACAAAUGUAUUUGAAAAUAUGGUAAGCUUUCUGAGGUCAAGUAAAUAUAAUAUAAGCAUUUCUUUAAAAAAAAAAAAAGAAUCAAUCCUUCUAACUGAGGCAUGUUCUCCACUGUUUAGAACUCCAGGGAAUAUAAAGUACAGGUAUUUACAUCUAUGAAUGAAGAUUUCCUAUUGCCUAGGACCUCCCUUAUGUUAAGAAGAAUGAUUGCUCAUGCUUGCACCAUUUAUGCAAAAUCUGUAGAGGUUACAAGAAAUCAACAGGAAUUCUAAAAGGCUAAAUUAGUGCUAAAGUAUCAAUGUGCACAUGUUCUAGUUUGCCAACAUCUGAUAGAAUCCCAACUUUUCCUGAGUGACAUUGUGAACAUAUUUACUAGAAGACAUGACAAAUGUACUAUAUUUAUGUCUACCAAAGAAUCAACAUGCAAAAAGUGAAAUUCUCUCAUUGAAUUAGUAACCUGUGAUUCAAGUUUGGAAAAUACUUAUAACUUCCAAUACUAAACAUCAAAGUCAAGCUUCACCAGUACUUUGGGAAUAAAUGAAACUGUUUAGGAUGCUUCCUUUUGUCAACAUCUGGUAAGUGCCCCACCAAUCACUGGAAACAUAACCUCGGCAAUAUUCAUUCUUAUGUUAAGAUAAGGUCAUUUUCAUGAACUUUUGCUAAGGGAUGUCUGUUUAAUUUUAUUCUUGCUUACUAAAAUACUAAUGUAACAAGAUGAAAAAAAUUCAACUUUUCUAAGCACCUUAGAGAAGCACCUUUGUAGGGUUGAUUGAUCCUCUGUGGGAAUUCCCUAAGCAUGGUUGUAGGGUUUACAAUUCCCCAAUUAUGAACUUACCAUUAUUAAAUGUUAUACAACAUAUUAUCACUACUAUCACAGCAGGUGGCAGCACCUCACUAGCUAAUCACUAGAAAGUAAAUCAGAAUCAACACUACCAUGCUUAGGUUGGAGCCCAUCAGAAAAUGCUAGGAUUUUUUUUAAAAAAACUAGAAGGCUGCAACUUCCAUAUGGAAAACACUAUAAUACCCACCUUAACCUUACAUAUAUAGGCUUUUGAGGUAAAAUUUAGUCUUAAUAUCUUCUCCAUCCUCUGCGUUAAGAUUCUGAAGCUGUUGAACUUAAAAGAUGCUUGCUAGGAUUCAUAAAAUAUCUUCCACAGAGUGCUAAUACACAAAUGGUUUGUCUGGAUUUGGGUCAGCGUGUUGUGUGAACCCCACCACUGUGUUUUUUUUUAUUACAGAUGAAACAUAGAAUAAAGCAGCUUUUCCAA